GCUCCUGUGGUGAAAUGGAUAUCUUCGCUGCCUUCGAAGCAGUUGUUGGGGGUUCGACUCCCUCCGGGAGCA
RNAcentral lists this transfer RNA (72 nucleotides) under Candidatus Parcubacteria bacterium. RNAcentral's name for it is "tRNA-Arg". It matches the Rfam family "tRNA". From Rfam's summary of the family: Transfer RNA (tRNA) molecules are approximately 80 nucleotides in length. Their secondary structure includes four short double-helical elements and three loops (D, anti-codon, and T loops). The record is from RNAcentral. Lineage: Bacteria; Candidatus Parcubacteria.